RNAcentral lists this ribosomal RNA (382 nucleotides) under uncultured Chytridiales. RNAcentral describes it as "SSU rRNA". It matches the Rfam family "Eukaryotic small subunit ribosomal RNA", at positions 585 to 972 of the family's 1831-position model. Lineage: Eukaryota; Fungi; Chytridiomycota; Chytridiomycetes; Chytridiales. The record is from RNAcentral.
CCAGCUCCAAUAGCGUAUAUUAAAGUUGUUGCAGUUAAAUAGCUCGUAGUUGAAUUUUGGGCCGGGUUUCGUGGUCGUGCCUCACGGUAUUGCACUUCGGGCCUGGUCUUUCCUUCUGGGGAACAGAUGUGCGCGAAAGCGUGUGUUUGGGAUCCAGGACUUUUACUUUGAAAAAAUUAGAGUGUUCAAAGCAGGCAUUAUUGCUCGAAUACAUUAGCAUGGAAUAAUAGAAUAGGACUUUGGUUCUAUUUUGUUGGUUUCUAGGACCGAAGUAAUGAUUAAUAGGGAUGGUUGGGGGCAUUAGUAUUUAAUUGUCAGAGGUGAAAUUCUUGGAUUUAUUAAAGACUCGCUGCUGCGAAAGCGUUUGCCAAGGACGUUUUCA